Non-coding RNA from Onygenales sp. PD_40, 97 nucleotides. Lineage: Eukaryota; Fungi; Ascomycota; Eurotiomycetes; Onygenales. The record is from the annotation of a GenBank genome assembly.
GGGCGAUUGGUUUAGUGGUAUAAUACCCCCUUAGCAUCUCGAAUUCUAAUUCGAAUCUACUUGGGGGUGGUCCAGGGUUCGAUUCCCUGAUCGUCCA